AGAGCGAACGCUGGCGGCAGGCCUAAUACAUGCAAGUCGAGCGCACCUUCGGGUGAGCGGCGGACGGGUGAGUAACGCGUGGGAAUGUGCCCUUUGGUACGGAACAACUGAGGGAAACUUCAGCUAAUACCGUAUGUGCCCUUCGGGGGAAAGAUUUAUCGCCAUUGGAGCAGCCCGCGUUGGAUUAGGUAGUUGGUGAGGUAAAGGCUCACCAAGCCUACGAUCCAUAGCUGGUCUGAGAGGAUGAUCAGCCACACUGGGACUGAGACACGGCCCAGACUCCUACGGGAGGCAGCAGUAGGGAAUCUUGCGCAAUGGGCGAAAGCCUGACGCAGCCAUGCCGCGUGAAUGAUGAAGGUCUUAGGAUUGUAAAAUUCUUUCACCGGGGAAGAUAAUGACGGUACCCGGAGAAGAAGCCCGGCUAACUUCGCGCCAGCAGCCGC
This 443-nucleotide ribosomal RNA is filed under the name uncultured bacterium. RNAcentral describes it as "SSU rRNA". It matches the Rfam family "Bacterial small subunit ribosomal RNA", at positions 26 to 518 of the family's 1533-position model. The record is from RNAcentral.